GUAAUGCCUAGGAAUCUGCCUGGUAGUGGGGGACAACGUUUCGAAAGGAACGCUAAUACCGCAUACGUCCUACGGGAGAAAGCAGGGGACCUUCGGGCCUUGCGCUAUCAGAUGAGCCUAGGUCGGAUUAGCUAGUAGGUGAGGUAAUGGCUCACCUAGGCGACGAUCCGUAACUGGUCUGAGAGGAUGAUCAGUCACACUGGAACUGAGACACGGUCCAGACUCCUACGGGAGGCAGCAGUGGGGAAUAUUGGACAAUGGGCGAAAGCCUGAUCCAGCCAUGCCGCGUGUGUGAAGAAGGUCUUCGGAUUGUAAAGCACUUUAAGUUGGGAGGAAGGGCAGUAAGUUAAUACCUUGCUGUUUUGACGUUACCAACAGAAUAAGCACCGGCUAACUUCGUGCCAGCAGCCGCGGUAAUACGAAGGGUGCAAGCGUUAAUCGGAAUUACUGGGCGUAAAGCGCGCGUAGGUGGUUCAGCAAGUUGGAGGUGAAAUCCCCGGGCUCAACCUGGGAACUGCCUCCAAAACUACUGAGCUAGAGUACGGUAGAGGGUAGUGGAAUUUCCUGU
This 568-nucleotide ribosomal RNA is filed under the name Pseudomonas sp. RNAcentral describes it as "bacterial SSU rRNA". It matches the Rfam family "Bacterial small subunit ribosomal RNA", at positions 110 to 674 of the family's 1533-position model. Lineage: Bacteria; Pseudomonadati; Pseudomonadota; Gammaproteobacteria; Pseudomonadales; Pseudomonadaceae. The record is from RNAcentral.